Molecule: ribosomal RNA, 424 nt
Filed under: uncultured bacterium
Lineage: Bacteria
Description: partial 16S ribosomal RNA
Rfam family: Bacterial small subunit ribosomal RNA
Source: RNAcentral
GUGGGGGAUAUUGCACAAUGGAGGAAACUCUGAUGCAGCGACGCCGCGUGAGUGAAGAAGUAUUUCGGUAUGUAAAGCUCUAUCAGCAGGGAAGAUAAUGACAGUACCUGACUAAGAAGCCCCGGCUAACUACGUGCCAGCAGCCGCGGUAAUACGUAGGGGGCAAGCGUUAUCCGGAUUUACUGGGUGUAAAGGGAGCGUAGACGGAAUGGCAAGUCUGAAGUGAAAUCCUGCGGCUUAACUGCAGAAUUGCUUUGGAAACUGUCAAUCUGGAGUGUUGGAGAGGUAAGCGGAAUUCCUGGUGUAGCGGUGAAAUGCGUAGAUAUCAGGAAGAACACCGGAGGCGAAGGCGGCUUACUGGACAAUAACUGACGUUGAGGCUCGAAAGCGUGGGAAGCAAACAGGAUUAGAUCCCUUGUAGUCC